Molecule: long non-coding RNA, 621 nt
Organism: Octopus sinensis (East Asian common octopus)
Lineage: Eukaryota; Metazoa; Mollusca; Cephalopoda; Octopoda; Octopodidae
Exons: 3
Source: RefSeq, a predicted model, not a curated record
GGGAUUGUCGUCUGUAUCAACAGCGGGAAUUUCUACUUCUUCGACCUGGAAAUAUUUGUCGUGUUUUUCACUGGAAAUUGUUUGGUUAAAAAAUGAACGAUUACACUUAUUGGUUUACAUGCGAACUUUUGUUUAUUUUAUAUCCUUCUAUAUGUUGGAUAUGCAAAUUUCACGAAGCGUGGAUAGACACAACUGUCUUCACACAACCUACUUCAGAUUACUCCACUAAACACAAUACUCUAAUAAAUAGAAACUCUGAACAAUGUCAACAACUUCCAUGAACUCCCAUUGACUCUCUUUGUCUCAACCAAUAUGCUAAUUUUUUUAUAAGAGUUUUGCUAGUCCAUUCUUCCAAUCCCAUAGGGGUGCCAGUUUAUACAUGUAUAUUUUACCAAAACAAGUAUCCCCAUGCGAAGCUUCACCUGUAAACAUCAACGAGUGUUUAAGGAAUCCUUGUCGUUAUGGUGCCAUAUGUCAGAAUUUCCUAGGUUCCUACCGUUGUGCGUGCAAACCAGAAUUCGAUUACAUCGACCCCAGCGCGUAACUGGUACUUAUUUAAUCGACCCCGGUAGGACCCCUCGGCGGAAUUUGAACUCAGAACGUAAUAAUAAUAAUAAUAAA